Molecule: ribosomal RNA, 468 nt
Filed under: uncultured bacterium
Lineage: Bacteria
Description: partial 16S ribosomal RNA
Rfam family: Bacterial small subunit ribosomal RNA
Source: RNAcentral
GACGAACGCUGGCGGCGUGCCUAACACAUGCAAGUCGAACGGAAAGGCCCUGCUUUUGUGGGGUGCUCGAGUGGCGAACGGGCGAGUAACACGUGAGUAACCUGCCCUUGACUUUGGGAUAACUUCAGGAAACUGGGGCUAAUACCGGAUAGGAGCUCCUGCUGCAUGGUGGGGGUUGGAAAGUUUCGGCGGUUGGGGAUGGACUCGCGGCUUAUCAGCUUGUUGGUGGGGUAGUGGCUUACCAAGGCUUUGACGGGUAGCCGGCCUGAGAGGGUGACCGGCCACAUUGGGACUGAGAUACGGCCCAGACUCCUACGGGAGGCAGCAGUGGGGAAUAUUGCACAAUGGGCGGAAGCCUGAUGCAGCAACGCCGCGUGCGGGAUGACGGCCUUCGGGUUGUAAACCGCUUUCGCCUGUGACGAAGCGUGAGUGACGGUAAUGGGUAAAGAAGCACCGGCUAACUACGUG